This 302-nucleotide ribosomal RNA is filed under the name uncultured bacterium. Its description in RNAcentral is "partial 16S ribosomal RNA". It matches the Rfam family "Bacterial small subunit ribosomal RNA", at positions 508 to 807 of the family's 1533-position model. The record is from RNAcentral.
GCAGUAGCCGCGGUAAUACGAAGGGGGCUAGCGUUGUUCGGAUUCACUGGGCGUAAAGGGCGCGUAGGCGGACUGAUAAGUCAGGGGUGAAAUCCCAAGGCUCAACCUUGGAACUGCCUUUGAUACUGUUUGUCUUGAGUUCGAGAGAGGUAAGUGGAACUGCGAGUGUAGAGGUGAAAUUCGUAGAUAUUCGGAAGAACACCAGUGGCGAAGGCGACACACUGGCCCAUUACUGACGCUGAGGCUCGAAAGCGUGGGGAGCAAACAGGAUUAGAGACCCCCGUAGUCCCUGUCUCUUAUAC